UUUUCGGUUGGGGCWACCGCGGARUAUAACAAAACCUCCACGACGAACAGAGUUUUCCCUCUAAUCAAAGGGCUACCACCCCUAGAAUCAACACAUUGACCCAAAUUGACCCAAUUCCUUGAGCAACGAACCAAGUUACCCKGGGGAUAACAGCGCAAUCCACCUCAAGAGCUCUUAUCGACAAGUGGGUUUACGACCUCGAUGUUGGAUCAGGGUACCCCAGUGGUGCAGCCGCUACUAAAGUGUUCGUUUGUUCAACGAUUAAAACCCUACGUGAUCUGAGUUC
Molecule: ribosomal RNA, 286 nt
Filed under: Oreophryne sp. 2289
Lineage: Eukaryota; Metazoa; Chordata; Amphibia; Anura; Microhylidae
Description: partial 16S ribosomal RNA
Rfam family: Bacterial large subunit ribosomal RNA
Source: RNAcentral